Molecule: long non-coding RNA, 474 nt
Filed under: Homo sapiens (human)
Lineage: Eukaryota; Metazoa; Chordata; Mammalia; Primates; Hominidae
Description: HSALNT0309338
Source: RNAcentral
CAAGGGCAGAACUGCCGCAGAGACAUCUGCAGAAAGUGCCGAGCUGCAAAAGGCCCCCAGAGCUCCAAGGAAGGCUUGGAAAAAAAUCCACCAUGACAAAGUGAGAUAUUCAGUAUGUCUGCUGCAGCUUGUGGUAGUGGGUAUAUGGUAUUUUCCAACAAAUUCUUGUCACACUUUGAAGGAAUCAAUCCACAAACCUCUAUGGCAUGGAGAAGCUGGCAGCCCUUGUUUUGAGGUCGUGGGGCAAGAGACACGAAGAAGCAGGUCCCUGAGCAGUACCAGUCCCAGCUGCACAUAUUUAGGCUUCUGGGCUAAGCUCUGGGUCCUGAGUGGUGGGGGUGGAUUAGGGCUUGCGUUUUUUACAUAGAUUUUUUUUUUUGUACUCUUGUGAUAUGUGGGAUACUAAAGUGCACGUCCCAGGGCUGGGCCUAGAUCUUGCCUAGAUCUGAGGUUGGUACUGGGUGCAUGAAAAAC